CCUACGGGUGGCAGCAGUGAGGAAUAUUGGUCAAUGGGCGGGAGCCUGAACCAGCCAAGUCGCGUGAAGGAAGAAGGUACUUAGUAUUGUAAACUUCUUUUGUCGGGGAACAAAGGCGGAGACGCGUCUCCGGAUGAGUGUACCCGAAGAAAAAGCAUCGGCUACCUCCGUUCCAGCAGCCGCGGUAAUACGGAGGAUGCGAGCGUUAUCCGGAUUUGUUGGGGUUAAAGGGUGCGCAGGCGGGAGAUCAAGUCAGCGGUAAAAUGUCGGGGCUCAACCCCGGCCGGCCGUUGAAACUGGUUGUCUUGAGUGUGGGAGAGGGAUGCGGAAUGCGUGGUGUAGCGGUGAAAUGCAUAGAUAUCACGAAGAACUCCGAUUGCGAAGGCAGCAUACCGGCUCCAUACUGACGCUGAGGCACGAAAGCGUGGGGAUCGAACAGGAUUAGAUACCCGUGUAGUC
Molecule: ribosomal RNA, 459 nt
Filed under: uncultured bacterium
Lineage: Bacteria
Description: partial 16S ribosomal RNA
Rfam family: Bacterial small subunit ribosomal RNA
Source: RNAcentral